RNAcentral lists this long non-coding RNA (1142 nucleotides) under Serinus canaria (Common canary). RNAcentral describes it as "lncRNA (ENSSCAG00000012398.1)". Lineage: Eukaryota; Metazoa; Chordata; Aves; Passeriformes; Fringillidae. The record is from RNAcentral.
AUGUUUUCUCUUCAGGGAGGGCCUUCCUACUAUCCUGGUGGAUCUUAUGGACAGGGAGGGUCUUCUGCUUAUGAUGGCGGCAGUGAAUCCUAUGGUCAGGGUGGAUCCUCUGUAUAUAGUGGUUCUGAGACUUAUGGCCAGGAUUCACCUGCCAUGGGAGCCAGUGAAACUGAAGAUAGUGAUUCCUCCUCGCCGUCUGGUAGCCGCCAGAGUGAACGGGUAAGCAAUCCCUCCUUUAUGUAGUGCCAGGUGCCAGCCCAGGGCUUGGCAACUGCAGCACCUAAAUUACAUCUCCUGUGGAAAGCCUGAGGCAUCUCCAGUGUGGGACAGAAAACCCUCAAGCACAGCAGGAAUGAGGAUAUGGUUAAAGAGUUUAAGUACUGCUAGAAAUCACAGCUGAUGCUGAGGUGUGCUCUUGAAUCUCAAACUCACGUUACAAAUGUGAUAGCACAAUCUUCUUGUUCAGGUCCUUGCACUUUUUAAAUAAUUGAUUGACUGCAAAGAGCUUCAAUACCAUGAUUUUCCCAGCACUUAUUCUAAAUGCAACCCUUUGCUUGUUGUGCUGUAUGACUUACUUAUGAAGGCUUCCAUUUUCCUAUCAUUUUUACAUGGCACAUAUUGUAUUUAUUCUAAUGACACAGACUGAGAAGUUAUUUUAUUGAAGAUUUAACUCUUUCAACUGUUGUAUCCUAGAGAACAUCUUCCACCAAAAGAGCAAUUAUCAAUAGUCAUGAAGGGCAUGUGCUGUUUUCUAUAUAAAGACAGUAGAUUAUUUUUGUUUUUCUUGAACAAUCCAUGACAGAAAAUUAAGGCGCGUGGAGAAGCAAGGAGGAGUGUUUUUCUUCCACUCUGAUCUUUCCAGUUUUUGGGGUUUGGUUUUUCCAUGUAAUUUCAUUUUAAAUACAUUUUUCCAGGAUUUUUAUUCCCCAGGAGGCAGCCAGUCAGGUGGACAUGUAAGCAUCUAUUUUAUUUAUUAUUUGCAGUUCUCUUUCAAAAUGGCUGUACUAUUUAAAAAUUAUCCCAAUGAGUAAAUAACACCAAACCAUUAAUUUCCUAGACUUGCUCAUGACAUCUGGCAUCAUGUCUUGAGAAAUCAAAUUGCAAACUGUUUGAAUAAAAAAAUUUAAAAUUGUGUGUGUACA